UACGAAGGGGGCGAGCGUUGUUCGGAAUCACUGGGCGUAAAGGGUGCGUAGGCGGGUUUUUAAGUCAGGGGUGAAAUCCUGGAGCUCAACUCCAGAACUGCCUUUGAUACUGAAGAUCUUGAGUCCGGGAGAGGUGAGUGGAACUGCGAGUGUAGAGGUGAAAUUCGUAGAUAUUCGCAAGAACACCAGUGGCGAAGGCGGCUCACUGGCCCGGUACUGACGCUGAGGCACGAAAGCGUGGGGAGCAAACAGG
RNAcentral lists this ribosomal RNA (253 nucleotides) under uncultured bacterium. RNAcentral's name for it is "partial 16S ribosomal RNA". It matches the Rfam family "Bacterial small subunit ribosomal RNA", at positions 524 to 776 of the family's 1533-position model. The record is from RNAcentral.